CAGUAGCCGCGGUAAUACCGAGGGUGCGAGCGUUAAUCGGAAUUACUGGGCGUAAAGGGCGCGUAGGCGGUUAGGAAGGUGUGAUGUGAAAGCCCUGGGCUUAACCUAGGAAGUGCAUCGCAAACCAACUAGCUGGAGUAUAAGAGAGGGUGGCGGAAUUUCCGGUGUAGCGGUGAAAUGCGUAGAGAUCGGAAGGAACGUCAAUGGCGAAGGCAGCCACCUGGCUUAAUACUGACGCUGAGGCGCGAAAGCGUGGGGAGCGAACAGGAUUAGAUACCCGAGUAGUCCCUGUCUCUUAUAC
RNAcentral lists this ribosomal RNA (301 nucleotides) under uncultured bacterium. Its description in RNAcentral is "partial 16S ribosomal RNA". It matches the Rfam family "Bacterial small subunit ribosomal RNA", at positions 509 to 807 of the family's 1533-position model. The record is from RNAcentral.